GAUGAACGCUAGCGAUAGGCUUAACACAUGCAAGUCGAGGGGCAGCAUGGUCUUAGCUUGCUAAGACUGAUGGCGACCGGCGCACGGGUGCGUAACGCGUAUGCAACUUGCCUCACAGAGGGGGAUAACCCGUCGAAAGACGGACUAAUACCGCGUACACGCUAUUUUGGGCAUCCAAGGUAGAGGAAAUGAAAUUCGCUGUGAGAUAGGCAUGCGUCCCAUUAGCUAGUUGGUGAGGUAACGGCUCACCAAGGCGACGAUGGGUAGGGGAACUGAGAGGUUGACCCCCCACACUGGUACUGAGACACGGACCAGACUCCUACGGGAGGCAGCAGUGAGGAAUAUUGGUCAAUGGGCGAGAGCCUGAACCAGCCAAGUCGCGUGAAGGAUGACUGUCUUAUGGAUUGUAAACUUCUUUUGUAGGGGAAUAAAGAGGGGCACGUGUGCCCCAGUGAAUGUACCCUACGAAUAAGCAUCGGCUAACUCCGUG
This 490-nucleotide ribosomal RNA is filed under the name uncultured bacterium. RNAcentral's name for it is "partial 16S ribosomal RNA". It matches the Rfam family "Bacterial small subunit ribosomal RNA", at positions 28 to 507 of the family's 1533-position model. The record is from RNAcentral.